AAUAGCGUAUAUUAAAGUUGUUGCAGUUAAAAAGCUCGUAGUUGGACCUUGGGCCUGGACAGGCGGUCCGCCUCACGGCGUGUACUGUCUUGCUGGGCCUUUCCUCUUGGUGAUCUGUGGUUUCGGCCGCAGGGAACCAGGACCUUUACUUUGAAAAAAUUAGAGUGUUCAAAGCAGGCUUUACGCCAGAAUAUAUUAGCAUGGAAUAAUAAAAUAGGACGUGCGGUUCUAUUUUGUUGGUUUUUGGGAUCGCCGUAAUGAUUAAUAGGGACAGUCGGGGGCAUUAGUACUCACAUGCUAGAGGUGAAAUUCUUGGAUUUUGUGAAGACUAACUUCUGCGAAAGCAUUUGCCAAGGAUGUUUUCAUUAAUCAAGAACGAAGGUUAGGGUAUCGAAAACGAUUAGAUACCGUUGUAGUCUUAACUAGUAAACUAUGCCGACUAGGGAUCGGUCGAUGUUAUUUUCUUGACUCGAUCGGCACCUUACGAGAAAUCAAAGUUUUUGGGUUCUGGGGGGAGUAUGGUCGCA
RNAcentral lists this ribosomal RNA (527 nucleotides) under Malassezia sympodialis. RNAcentral describes it as "SSU rRNA". It matches the Rfam family "Eukaryotic small subunit ribosomal RNA", at positions 593 to 1133 of the family's 1831-position model. Lineage: Eukaryota; Fungi; Basidiomycota; Malasseziomycetes; Malasseziales; Malasseziaceae. The record is from RNAcentral.